GAUGAACGCUGGCGGCGUGCCUAAUACAUGCAAGUAGAACGCUGAAGGAAGGAGCUUGCUCUUUCCGGAUGAGUUGCGAACGGGUGAGUAACGCGUAGGUAACCUGCCUGGUAGCGGGGGAUAACUAUUGGAAACGAUAGCUAAUACCGCAUAACAGUAGAUGUUGCAUGAUAUCUACUUAAAAGGUGCAAUUGCACCACUACCAGAUGGACCUGCGUUGUAUAGCUAGUUGGUGAGGUAACGGCUCACCAAGGCGACGAUACAUAGCCGACCUGAGAGGGUGAUCGGCCACACUGGGACUGAGACACGGCCCAGACUCCUACGGGAGGCAGCAGUAGGGAAUCUUCGGCAAUGGACGGAAGUCUGACCGAGCAACGCCGCGUGAGUGAAGAAGGUUUUCGGAUCGUAAAGCUCUGUUGUAAGAGAAGAACGAGUGUGAGAGUGGAAAGUUCACACUGUGACGGUAUCUUACCAGAAAGGGACGGCUAACUACGUG
This 496-nucleotide ribosomal RNA is filed under the name uncultured bacterium. RNAcentral's name for it is "partial 16S ribosomal RNA". It matches the Rfam family "Bacterial small subunit ribosomal RNA", at positions 28 to 507 of the family's 1533-position model. The record is from RNAcentral.